This 402-nucleotide ribosomal RNA is filed under the name uncultured bacterium. Its description in RNAcentral is "bacterial SSU rRNA". It matches the Rfam family "Bacterial small subunit ribosomal RNA", at positions 917 to 1358 of the family's 1533-position model. The record is from RNAcentral.
GGGCCCGCACAAGCGGUGGAGUAUGUGGUUUAAUUCGAUGCAACGCGAAGAACCUUACCAGGGUUUGACAUCCUGCGAAUCUCUUGGAAACAGGAGAGUGCCUUCGGGAACGCAGUGACAGGUGGUGCAUGGCUGUCGUCAGCUCGUGUCGUGAGAUGUUGGGUUAAGUCCCGCAACGAGCGCAACCCACGUCUUUAGUUGCCAGCAUUUAGUUGGGCACUCUAGAGAGACUGCCGGUGAUAAACCGGAGGAAGGUGUGGAUGACGUCAAGUCAUCAUGCCCCUUACAUCCUGGGCUACACACGUACUACAAUGCUACGGACAAAGGGCAGCAAGUUCGGAUUGUCCUCUGCAACUCGAGGGCAUGAAGGCGGAAUCGCUAGUAAUCGCGAAUCAGAAUGUC